This 779-nucleotide non-coding RNA is filed under the name Opisthoplatia ecarinata. The record is from RNAcentral. Lineage: Eukaryota; Metazoa; Arthropoda; Insecta; Blattodea; Blaberidae.
GACAAGUUUUAUUCUUGCUUAAUUAUUUAUUAUAUAAUAAAAUUAUAUGCAAAUUGUUAAAAUUAUAAUUUCUUAAUGAAUUUAUAUAAGUUUAUUGGCAGUAAUUAAUAUUAGUAAUUUAAUAAAUUUUGAAUUAGUUAUUUAUAUUAAAUAUUGAUGAAAUAUGUGCCAGCAGUCGCGGUUAUACAUAAAAUAUGAGUAAAUAUUUUCAGUUGAAUAGUUAUUAUGAUUAAAUUAAUUAAUAAAUUUUAUUUUUGGGUAGAAUUUAAUUUUUUUUCUUGAUUAAAAUUAUUAAUAUAAGAAGCUAUAAAAUCUAAUUAAUUAAACUAGGAUUAGAUACCCUAUUAUUAUAGAUGUAAAUUUUAGUACUUGAGUAGUAUUAGUUAUGAUCUUUAAACUUAAAGAAUUUGGCGGUAUUCUAGUCUAUUUAGAGGAAUCUGUUCCAUAAUCGAUAAUCCGCGUUGGACCUUACUUAAUUUAUAAAUAUGUAUACCGCCGUUUAUUGAAAAUCUUAUUAGGGUAAAUUUUCUUGAUACAAAAUUUUGUAAUAUUUCAGGUCAAGGUGCAGUAUAUAAUUAAGUGGAAAUGGAUUACAAUAUUUUAAUAGUACGAAUUAUAAUUUGGAAUAUAUUAUAUAAAGGUGGAUUUAAUAGUAAUUUUGAAAAGAUUAUUAAGGUGAUUGAAGCUCUAGAAUGUGCACACAUCGCCCGUCACUCUCGUUAUUAAGAUGAGAUAAGUCGUAACAAAGUAGGUGUACCGGAAGGUGUAGCUAGAUUGAU